Molecule: ribosomal RNA, 321 nt
Filed under: Bacilli bacterium
Lineage: Bacteria; Bacillati; Bacillota; Bacilli
Description: partial 23S ribosomal RNA
Rfam family: Bacterial large subunit ribosomal RNA
Source: RNAcentral
CUGGGUUCAAAACGUCGUGAGACAGUUUGGUCCCUAUCUGUCGUGGGCGUAGGAAAUUUGAAGGGAGUUGUUCUUAGUACGAGAGGACCAGAAUGAACGAACCGCUGGUGAACCAGUUGGCCUGCCAGGGCCACUGCUGGGUAGCUACGUUCGGACGGGAUAAACGCUGAAAGCAUCUAAGCGUGAAGCCCCCCUUAAGAUGAGAUUUCCUGUUACGCAAGUAAGUAAGUCCCCUUAGAGAUGAUGAGGUUGAUAGGUCAGAGAUGUAAGCAUGGUGACAUGUUGAGUUGACUGAUACUAAUAGGACGAGGACUUUUCCUU